Long non-coding RNA from Aedes aegypti (yellow fever mosquito), 357 nucleotides. RefSeq lists it as uncharacterized. Lineage: Eukaryota; Metazoa; Arthropoda; Insecta; Diptera; Culicidae. The record is from RefSeq and is a predicted model, not a curated record. The transcript has 2 exons.
UGCAAUCUCAUCUGAUAAACGAGAUCAUCUUCGGAUAAUGGAGAGAUAUUAUCUGUAAUCCAAGAGCGCUUUGAAAUGAUAUCAUCUCUCAAUCUUGAGCAUCAAAAGAUAUUCUUGACAGCUUUCUGGUGAAUUAACAACAUGUGAGAGCAAUUUUGAAGCAUUUUUGUUUUCCUGAUAAUUGUGAUAUUCGAGAAUAUAGUCGUAUUUGGUAAUCAAGAAUGGUGCGGAACAGUUUUGCAAUAUUGGUUUCAAGCGAUGAAAACUGCAAUUUCUGAACAACAUGAGCACUUCCUCGUACCACAAUGUCAAGCUUAUAUUAUUUUUCGAAUAAAAUGACACUAUAGAAGAAUGAAA